RNAcentral lists this long non-coding RNA (520 nucleotides) under Coffea arabica (coffee). RNAcentral describes it as "long non-coding RNA (CARA_LNC005966)". Lineage: Eukaryota; Viridiplantae; Streptophyta; Magnoliopsida; Gentianales; Rubiaceae. The record is from RNAcentral.
UUUUUCCAAGAAAGCAUUGAAUUUAAAUUACAAACGACUAAAUCAUAUUUUUUGAAUGCUUUUUCUUUUCCCUUUUCAACAAAUUCUAUGAUAAAACUUAAAAAUAAAAAAUAAAACUGGAAACUAAAAACUAAAAAAUGAACACGACAAAUAAAAAACUAAAAAAUGAAAUUACACCAAAAAUUUGGUGUCUACAGUUUGCCCCUCUUUGUCCGAGUUUUGAAAAAACUUGAGACAAAGAAGUAGACACCAAAACUUACCUGUGUUAUUCGGCUGCGAAUUACUCAAAUGAUGGGGACUGUCCCCUGAUGGGAAAUUUUAAAAGCGGGACUGACCCGAGAUAGAAAUUUAAAUGGGACUGACCCGAACAGGAAUUUAAAUGGGAUAGACCCGGACCGAAAAGUAAAUGGGAUAGACCCACGGGAUAGACCCGGACUGAAAUGUAAAAUUGGGAUAGACCCACGGGAUAGACCCGGACAGAAAUUUAAAAUUGGGAUAGACCCACGGGAUAGACCCGGAC